ACAGACGUGACUGAGCCCAGUCGAAUCACACUGACUGGAGGAAAGCUGAGCGGGCUGUGGCUCCGCAGUGGGUCCUGGGAACAAGUCUCAUGUGUGCCUGCUUGCUUGCCCUAGGAAGACCUGGAAGCGCUCAUAGCCCAUUUCCAGACACUCGAUGCCAAGAGGACUCAGACUGUGGAAGCUCCGUGCCCCCCGCCCUCACCAAGACUUUUUUGUAUAACGAGCUCUAUGUCUACAAUAUCAGAAAGGACACCUGGACCAAAGUUGACAUCCCCAGUCCACCUCCGAGGCGCUGUGCUCACCAGGCGGUGGUGGUGCCUCAAGGUGGCGGACAGCUGUGGGUCUUUGGAGGGGAGUUUGCCUCUCCGAACGGAGAGCAGUUCUACCACUACAAGGAUCUCUGGGUCCUGCAUUUGGCCACCAAGACCUGGGAACAAGUCAAAUCAACAGGCGGUCCUUCGGUCGGAGUGGACAUCGGAUGGUGGCCUGGAAGAGACAAUUGAUCCUUUUUGUGGGCUUCCAUGAGAGUGCACGGAACCAGCAUGGCAAUUGAUGAUGUGAAGGUGCCAUUACACCUUU
This 579-nucleotide small RNA is filed under the name Pongo abelii (Sumatran orangutan). RNAcentral describes it as "processed transcript". Lineage: Eukaryota; Metazoa; Chordata; Mammalia; Primates; Hominidae. The record is from RNAcentral.